CCUACGGGUGGCAGCAGUGGGGAAUUUUGGACAAUGGGCGCAAGCCUGAUCCAGCUAUUCCGCGUGUGGGAAGACGGCCUUCGGGUUGUAAACCACUUUUGUAGAGAACGAAAAGUCUAUUGAUAAUACCGAUAGAUGAUGACGGUACUCUAAGAAUAAGCACCGGCUAACUACGUUCCAGCAGCCGCGGUAAUACGUAGGGUGCGAGCGUUAAUCGGAAUUACUGGGCGUAAAGGGUGUGCAGGCGGGUUUGCAAGAUGGAUGUGAAAGCCCCGGGCUUAACCUGGGAAAGCCAUACAUGACUGCAAGACUAGAGUGCGUCAGAGGGGGGUGGAAUUCCAAGUGUAGCAGUGAAAUGCGUAGAUAUUUGGAAGAACACCGAUGGCGAAGGCAGCCCCCUGGGACGCAACUGACGCUCAUACACGAAAGCGUGGGGAGCAAACAGGAUUAGAUACCCCAGUAGUC
RNAcentral lists this ribosomal RNA (465 nucleotides) under uncultured bacterium. Its description in RNAcentral is "partial 16S ribosomal RNA". It matches the Rfam family "Bacterial small subunit ribosomal RNA", at positions 338 to 795 of the family's 1533-position model. The record is from RNAcentral.